UUAGGUCAUACUUCUCUCACGCGUUAUAACAAUCGGUUUCGUGUAGAUAGGAUAAGUAGUUUUGUAAGCUGUGACCUCACACUUUUCAAUUUUUCAUAUGUACAUCUUCUUUGAUGGAGCCUGUGUCUUGCAGUAUGUCCUGCUGGAUACUAUGCAAUGUAAAUUGAAAUGUAUACAUAGGGACAGUAGCGAUGCUAACAUUCAAUCGGUUUGGAACAAAGCAAUCUUGACUGGAUUGAUAUUCUUCGAUUGCAGCAAAGGACAAGAAAAGGAUGGUAUACAGUAUUGUGCUUCGUCCUAUCUAGGGAAUGUGAAAUUGCUGCGGAAGUAUAUAAACAAGAUAUGUCAAAAUUCCAUUUAUGUAAAU
Vespula pensylvanica (western yellowjacket) is the source of this 367-nucleotide long non-coding RNA. RefSeq lists it as uncharacterized. The transcript is spliced from 3 exons. The record is from RefSeq and is a predicted model, not a curated record. Lineage: Eukaryota; Metazoa; Arthropoda; Insecta; Hymenoptera; Vespidae.